RNAcentral lists this ribosomal RNA (400 nucleotides) under uncultured bacterium. RNAcentral's name for it is "bacterial SSU rRNA". It matches the Rfam family "Bacterial small subunit ribosomal RNA", at positions 355 to 747 of the family's 1533-position model. The record is from RNAcentral.
UGGGGAAUAUUGGACAAUGGGGGAAACCCUGAUCCAGCAAUGCCGCGUGAGUGAAGAAGGCCUUAGGGUUGUAAAGCUCUUUUGUGGGGGAGGAAGGAGCUUGUGUUAAUAGCAUAAGUUCUUGACGUUACCCCAAGAAAAAGCACCGGCUAACUCUGUGCCAGCAGCCGCGGUAAUACAGAGGGUGCGAGCGUUAAUCGGAAUGACUGGGCGUAAAGGGUGCGUAGGUGGUUAGUUAAGUUAGCUGUGAAAGCCCCGGGCUCAACCUGGGAAUGGCAGCUAAAACUGAUUAGCUAGAGUAGGUGAGAGGAGUGUGGAAUUUCCGGUGUAGCGGUGAAAUGCGUAGAGAUCGGAAAGAACACCAGUGGCGAAGGCGGCACUCUGGAACCAUACUGACACU